Molecule: ribosomal RNA, 448 nt
Filed under: uncultured bacterium
Lineage: Bacteria
Description: bacterial SSU rRNA
Rfam family: Bacterial small subunit ribosomal RNA
Source: RNAcentral
UACGGGAGGCAGCAGGGGGAAUAUUGCACAAUGGGCGCAAGCCUGAUGCAGCCAUGCCGCGUGUAUGAAGAAGGCCUUCGGGUUGUAAAGUACUUUCAGUCGUGAGGAAGGUGUUAAGGUUAAUAACCUUAGCAAUUGACGUUAGCGACAGAAGAAGCACCGGCUAACUCCGUGCCAGCAGCCGCGGUAAUACGGAGGGUGCGAGCGUUAAUCGGAAUUACUGGGCGUAAAGGGCACGCAGGCGGUUAAUUAAGUUGGAUGUGAAUCCCCGGGCUUAACCUGGGAAUGGCAUUCAAGACUGGUUAGCUAGAGUCUUGUAGAGGGGGUAGAAUUCCAUGUGUAGCGGUGAAAUGCGUAGAGAUGUGGAGGAAUACCGGUGGCGAAGGCGGCCCCUGGACAAAGACUGACGCUCAUGUGCGAAAGCGUGGGGAGCAAACGAGGGAUUAGA